This 497-nucleotide ribosomal RNA is filed under the name uncultured bacterium. RNAcentral describes it as "partial 16S ribosomal RNA". It matches the Rfam family "Bacterial small subunit ribosomal RNA", at positions 28 to 507 of the family's 1533-position model. The record is from RNAcentral.
GAUGAACGCUGGCGGCGUGCCUAAUACAUGCAAGUCGAGCGAACAGACGAGGAGCUUGCUCCUUUGACGUUAGCGGCGGACGGGUGAGUAACACGUGGGUAACCUACCUAUAAGACUGGGAUAACUUCGGGAAACCGGAGCUAAUACCGGAUAAUAUUUCGAACCGCAUGGUUCGAUAGUGAAAGAUGGCUUUGCUAUCACUUAUAGAUGGACCUGCGCCGUAUUAGCUAGUUGGUAAGGUAACGGCUUACCAAGGCAACGAUACGUAGCCGACCUGAGAGGGUGAUCGGCCACACUGGAACUGAGACACGGUCCAGACUCCUACGAGAGGCAGCAGUAGGGAAUCUUCCGCAAUGGGCGAAAGCCUGACGGAGCAACGCCGCGUGAGUGAUGAAGGUCUUCGGAUCGUAAAACUCUGUUAUUAGGGAAGAACAAACGUGUAAGUAACUGUGCACGUCUUGACGGUACCUAAUCAGAAAGCCACGGCUAACUACGUG